GACGGGGCCCGCACAAGCGGUGGAGCAUGUGGUUUAAUUCGAUGCAACGCGAAGAACCUUACCUGGUCUUGACAUCCCGGAGACCCUUAGGAAACUAGGGGUGCUUCCAUCUGGAAGAAUCUGGAGACAGGUGCUGCAUGGCUGUCGUCAGCUCGUGUCGUGAGAUGUUGGGUUAAGUCCCGCAACGAGCGCAACCCUUGCCUUUAGUUGCCAGCAGUUCGGCUGGGCACUCUAAAGGGACUGCCGGUGUUAAACCGGAGGAAGGUGGGGAUGACGUCAAGUCCUCAUGGCCUUUAUGACCAGGGCUACACACGUACUACAAUGGCCGAUACAAAGGGCAGCGACACUGCGAGGUGAAGCCAAUCCCGUAAAAUCGGUCUCAGUCCGGAUUGGAGUCUGCAACUCGACUCCAUGAAGUUGGAAUCGCUAGUAAUCGUGGAUCAGCAUGCCACGGUGAAUACGUUCCCGGGCCUU
This 474-nucleotide ribosomal RNA is filed under the name uncultured Desulfobulbus sp. RNAcentral's name for it is "bacterial SSU rRNA". It matches the Rfam family "Bacterial small subunit ribosomal RNA", at positions 916 to 1381 of the family's 1533-position model. The record is from RNAcentral. Lineage: Bacteria; Pseudomonadati; Thermodesulfobacteriota; Desulfobulbia; Desulfobulbales; Desulfobulbaceae.